AACGAACGCUGGCGGCAGGCUUAACACAUGCAAGUCGAGCGCCCCCGCAAGGGGAGCGGCAGACGGGUGAGUAACGCGUGGGAAUCUACCCAGUUCUACGGAAUAACACAGGGGAAACUUGUGCUAAUACCGUAUACGCCCUACGGGGGAAAGAUUUAUCGGAAUUGGAUGAGCCCGCGUUGGAUUAGCUAGUUGGUGGGGUAAUGGCCUACCAAGGCGACGAUCCAUAGCUGGUCUGAGAGGAUGAUCAGCCACGACUGGGACUGAGACACGGCCCAGACUCCUACGGGAGGCAGCAGUGGGGAAUAUUGGACAAUGGGCGAAAGCCUGAUCCAGCCAUGCCGCGUGAGUGAUGAAGGGCCCUAGGGGUUGUAAAGCUCUUUCAGUGGGGAAGAUAAUGACGGUACCGUAUAA
RNAcentral lists this ribosomal RNA (414 nucleotides) under uncultured bacterium. Its description in RNAcentral is "bacterial SSU rRNA". It matches the Rfam family "Bacterial small subunit ribosomal RNA", at positions 29 to 485 of the family's 1533-position model. The record is from RNAcentral.